Piliocolobus tephrosceles (Ugandan red Colobus) is the source of this 776-nucleotide long non-coding RNA. RefSeq lists it as uncharacterized. The record is from RefSeq and is a predicted model, not a curated record. NCBI's taxonomy places the organism in Eukaryota, Metazoa, Chordata, Mammalia, Primates, Cercopithecidae. The transcript is spliced from 3 exons.
GACUGGCAGGCAGAUACUUCCGGAAGAAGUCGGUCCUCCCAACCUGGAAGUGAAGCAGAAGACGCACAGUAUUCUGGGAGGAGUUAGGGAGGCGGGAUUGUCGUUGCUGGCUGUUACCAGGACAACCGGAGCCGAUUGACCGUUAUCUGCGGUUUGCAGCCGUUAGCGGGAGAGGCAGAGAAGUUCAGAGGUCUUUUAGGAUGUGCUAAAGGGUCGUGAGGGCGCUCUUAAGAUUUUCCUCACAAUAGGUUAUCCAGUCGUGCCCCUCGGCCCAGCCGCUGGCCCCGGGGAUCUGAGUCGCACCCUCUUGUUUUUCUCUGAGUCUGUCUUAAGGUGAAAUGAAGUGUGGCCCAGUGGCUCCUCAUUGUCGCUUCUCUAGUUUUCUGCCUCCUUUUAGAAAAUUGAAUUGAGAAGACGGGAUGAAGUGGACACAGCAUGUGAAGACAAUUCUUUCAAGAAGUUUCGCUGUCAAGGAAAAUAGAGAAUGUGCUAAAGACCAUACAGACACAGAGCAGACAGGCCACCUUUGCUACCACAUGGAGGUUUGUCUAAUAUGGAGGCUAAAGAAGCUGAGCUGGAAGACAGAGAGACCAAAUCCUGAUGACAUUGUUUGAACCCAGAGAUCCAGACAUGCCUGAAAACUAGUUUUACCACUGUACUUAUCUGUUAAAUGAGCCAAUAAACUCUCUUUUAUACUUAACCUUGGGUUUUACCUGGAUUUUUGUCAUUUACAGCUCAAAAGUAUUCUAAUAUAGAAGUAUACAUCAUUAAAUCAA